Molecule: ribosomal RNA, 453 nt
Filed under: Entedon cyanellus
Lineage: Eukaryota; Metazoa; Arthropoda; Insecta; Hymenoptera; Eulophidae
Description: eukaryotic LSU rRNA
Source: RNAcentral
CCUGAGAAACCCAAAAGAUCGAAUGGGGAGAUUCAUCGUCAGCGUGGCUGGCUUCCGUGCGGUUCGCGAUGGCCGGGACCUCGGUCCUGCGUCACGCGUCCGCCGCGGUAUGUCCGGCCGCGUCGGCGUGCACCUUCUCCCCUAGUAGGACGUCGCGACCCGUUGGGUGUCGGACCGAUGGCCGUUUGGUCGCCUGUCUCGUCGCGUUCACGCGUGUACGUGGCAGACCGAAAUGGUCGAGCGUCCGGCUGCCCGGCGGUAUAGAACGCUAUUGAACGGUAAUGAGCCGCAUUAAGUGCGUUCAGGCUCGUCGGCAGGCUCGUCUCGCCCGGAUUUACGGACCUAGCGCCGUUGCCGGGUGCUUGGCGUGGCUGUUAGUCGGCGAUGUCCUCGGACUGGCUCUAAAAUUCGAAAGGAUUACCGGUCGGCGACGCUACUGCUUUGGGUACUUUC